CGGAGGGUGCAAGCGUUAUCCGGAUUCACUGGGUUUAAAGGGUGCGUAGGUGGGCAGGUAAGUCAGUGGUGAAAUCUCCGGGCUUAACCCGGAAACUGCCAUUGAUACUAUCUGUCUUGAAUACCCUGGAGGUGAGCGGAAUAUGUCAUGUAGCGGUGAAAUGCUUAGAUAUGACAUAGAACACCCAUUGCGAAGGCAGCUCACUACGGGAAUAUUGACACUGAGGCACGAAAGCGUGGGGAUCAAACAGGAUUAGAUAACCCUGGUAGUCCACGCCCUAAACGAUGGAUACUCGACAUCAGCGAUAAACUGUUGGUGUCUGAGCAAAAGCAUUAAGUAUCCCACCUGGGAAGUACGAUCGCAAGAUUG
This 369-nucleotide ribosomal RNA is filed under the name uncultured organism. Its description in RNAcentral is "bacterial SSU rRNA". It matches the Rfam family "Bacterial small subunit ribosomal RNA", at positions 526 to 896 of the family's 1533-position model. The record is from RNAcentral.